GCCUGAGAAACGGCUACCACAUCCAAGGAAGGCAGCAGGCACGCAAAUUACCCACUCCCGGCACGGGGAGGUAGUGACAAAAAAUAACGAUGCGGGACUCUUUUGAGGCCCCGUAAUCGGAAUGAGUACACUUUAAAUCCUUUAACGAUAAUCAAUUAGAGGGCAAGUCUGGUGCCAGCAGCCGCGGUAAUUCCAGCUCUAAUAGCGUAUAUUAAAGUUGUUGCGGUUAAAAAGCUCGUAGUUGGUUCUGCGUGCCACGCUGUCGGUUCGCCGCCUGACGGUGUAACUGGCAUGUCGUGGCAUGUCCUGUCGGUGGCGAACUAGGGCCACACUCGUUUCCCCACCUUGGGCACGUCUCUUGUGUGUGGAGCGGUGUGGUCACUCGGUUCGCCGGCUCUAUCCUGCCGCGGUGCUUUUAACCAAGUGUCGAGGUAGGCCGACACGUUUACUUUGAACAAAUUAGAGUGCUCAAAGCAGGCUUAAAUCUCUGCCUGAAUAGUGGUGCAUGGAAUAAUGGAACAGGACCUUGGUUCUAUUCUGUUGGUCUCCGGAACACAAGGUAAUGAUCAAUGUGGACAGGCGGGGGCAUUCGUAUUGCGACGUUAGAGGUGAAAUUUCUUGGAUCGUCGCAAGACGCACUAGA
This 643-nucleotide ribosomal RNA is filed under the name Diplocysta trilobata. RNAcentral's name for it is "SSU rRNA". It matches the Rfam family "Eukaryotic small subunit ribosomal RNA", at positions 394 to 944 of the family's 1831-position model. The record is from RNAcentral. Lineage: Eukaryota; Metazoa; Arthropoda; Insecta; Hemiptera; Tingidae.